AUGAGGACUCUGGAUUACUUGGAAUAAAGAAAGACAAGGAAGAGAAAGCUAAUUAACAGGCUGAAAAGAGGAGAAAAAUAUCACCGAUGGAUUGCACCAUGUAUGUACGUGUAUAUAUACAGUGAGGUUUGAAAGGGAGGCCGGUGAUAAUUUCCAGCUUUAACAAAUAGAAGUAAUCCUGGCUACUGUGCAUAGUAGGUAUGUAUAUAUCUUGGCCAUUGAAGACAUUGUCAUUGACAUUCUCCCGGAGGAU
Molecule: long non-coding RNA, 253 nt
Filed under: Ursus maritimus (polar bear)
Lineage: Eukaryota; Metazoa; Chordata; Mammalia; Carnivora; Ursidae
Description: lncRNA (ENSUMAG00000008460.1)
Source: RNAcentral